UAUCCUAGAUUGCUUUCAAGGUCAUUUCUUUAGGGAACCCUAUUCCAUAAAUUCAGUAUCCAAAGAUGGUUGUUGUAUCUAUGGGAAUAAGGGUUCCCUAAUGAAAUGAUCUUGGACGCAAUCUAGGAGU
Oryza barthii is the source of this 130-nucleotide non-coding RNA. The record is from Rfam. NCBI's taxonomy places the organism in Eukaryota, Viridiplantae, Streptophyta, Magnoliopsida, Poales, Poaceae.